This 253-nucleotide ribosomal RNA is filed under the name uncultured bacterium. Its description in RNAcentral is "partial 16S ribosomal RNA". It matches the Rfam family "Bacterial small subunit ribosomal RNA", at positions 524 to 776 of the family's 1533-position model. The record is from RNAcentral.
UACGUAGGUGGCAAGCGUUGUCCGGAUUUAUUGGGUUUAAAGGGUGCGUAGGCGGCUUAUUAAGUCAGUGGUGAAAUAUGGCAGCUUAACUGUCAGGGUGCCAUUGAUACUGAUGAGCUUGAGUACAGAUGAGGUAGGCGGAAUUGACGGUGUAGCGGUGAAAUGCAUAGAUAUCGUCAAGAACACCUAUAGCGAAGGCAGCUUACUAAGCUGUAACUGACGCUGAGGCACGAAAGCGUGGGUAGCAAACAGG